Molecule: long non-coding RNA, 792 nt
Organism: Nothobranchius furzeri (turquoise killifish)
Lineage: Eukaryota; Metazoa; Chordata; Actinopteri; Cyprinodontiformes; Nothobranchiidae
Source: RefSeq, a predicted model, not a curated record
UCGUUCGUGUCUCCAUAGUGGCUAAGUACUGAGGGCUUCAUCUAUCUAAAAGGAGUAAUUUCCAUCUGAAUGUGGCAGCAACGGGACACAGCAGCAGAGCGUCCACAUCCAGAAGGCUGGAGCCGUGUUUCACUGACAGGCUGUCAGACUAAACCCUGAUGAGCUCAGCUGGGACAAUCUGGUCUGAUGUUUAGGAACACAGAACUUUCAGAUGUUGGACCUUCACAUCACCUACUGAGGAAGGAGACCCACCAGUAAAGAGACGGUCUGGACCAGACCAAAAAUAUGGCGAUGACAUCAUGGAACUGGUCAUUGGAAAAGUUUUCUCUGAACCAACUCCGUUUCUAGAUGAGGUAGAGAAGAUCUGCAUCUCACCAACCCUCUGGUCUCAGUAUUCAGACAACGGAGGUCUCCCACUGUUAUCCAGGACCAGUUUGAAGCCCACAUACUGCCCCUCCCUCAUCAUCAGGAAACAUCAAUCCGUAUCCUGAGGACAACAGAAGACAACAGGAGGACAGGAACUCUGAGACCUAGAUACCACCAGCACCGAGAGACAAAGCACCUGUGUGCACAACGCCUGUUUAACUACUAAAGCCUGUUUAUUAUAUUGUUCUACUUAUUUGAGAACCAGAAAUGUUUUAUUGUCCCAAAAAGUGAGAAAUAUGACAUUUGUAAGAGGAUACUGAUGACAUUAUUUCCUAUGAAAGUGUUUCCACUUUCCAUAAGUCCUAACAGUGUAAAUUUCUGGCAUUUUGUCUAAGUAGUGUUUACUACCAUUACUGUAACAGUGAC